This 495-nucleotide ribosomal RNA is filed under the name uncultured bacterium. RNAcentral's name for it is "partial 16S ribosomal RNA". It matches the Rfam family "Bacterial small subunit ribosomal RNA", at positions 28 to 507 of the family's 1533-position model. The record is from RNAcentral.
GAUGAACGCUGGCGGCGUGCCUAAUACAUGCAAGUAGAACGCUGAAGGAGGAGCUUGCUCUUCUGGAUGAGUUGCGAACGGGUGAGUAACGCGUAGGUAACCUGCCUGGUAGCGGGGGAUAACUAUUGGAAACGAUAGCUAAUACCGCAUGACAACAGUUAUUGCAUGAUAACUGUUUAAAAGGGGCAACUGCUCCACUACCAGAUGGACCUGCGUUGUAUUAGCUAGUUGGUGAGGUAACGGCUCACCAAGGCGACGAUACAUAGCCGACCUGAGAGGGUGAUCGGCCACACUGGGAAUGAGACACGGCCCAGACUCCUACGGGAGGCAGCAGGAGGGAAUCUUCGGAAAUGGACGGAAGUCUGACCGAGAAACGCCGCGGGAGUGAAGAAGGUUUUCGGAUCGUAAAGCUCUGUUGUAAGAGAAGAACGAGUGUGAGAGUGGAAAGUUCACACUGUGACGGUAGCUUACCAGAAAGGGACGGCUAACUACGUG